This is a long non-coding RNA of Felis catus (domestic cat), 1475 nucleotides long. RefSeq lists it as uncharacterized. The record is from RefSeq and is a predicted model, not a curated record. NCBI's taxonomy places the organism in Eukaryota, Metazoa, Chordata, Mammalia, Carnivora, Felidae. The transcript has 3 exons.
ACGACCUUGGGGUCAUGACCUGAGCCAAAAUCAAGAGUCAGAUGUUCCACCAACUGUGCCACCCAGGCACCCCUUGAUUUAUUCUCAAGAAAAAGGCAAAUUUGUUAUAAUUUUAUAAUGUCAAAGAUGACAGGACACUUCUGCUCAUCUUAACUGAGACUGCCAAUGAUGGUGCUUUUUCUAAGACCACUCUGCUUCCAGAUGAAACUAAGAAAUUCUAUUAGCCAAGGAGAGAAACAUUUGAGGAAUGAAGUGUAGCAGGGUUUGGUCACUGGAAAAAUGAAUCUGUAUCCAAAAAAAUUUGAUGUGAGAUUCAUUUAUUUCAUUUGAAUCUUGGUGCUUCAUAUUAUAUUUUGUUAGAGUGAUCAAGCUGUAACAGUCUUCUUUUUAAGUUUAUUUAUUUUGAGAAAGAGAGCUGGGUAGAGGCAGAGAAGGGGGGAGAGAGAGAGAAUCUCAAGCAGGCUCUGCACUGCCAGUGCCGAGCUUGAUGCGGGGCUUGAAUCCACGAACUGUAUAUCAUGACCUGAGCUGAAAUCAAGUUGGGCACUUAACCUACUGAACCACCCAGGCGCCCCUAGCAUUUCUUAAGGGGAAUUAUGGGAAAGAUAAAAUAGAGAAGGGUUCCAUCUUUGAAAUGAUGGUUCUACGAAGUUCCUAAGUGGAGGUUAACAGAAGUGGCAGUAAAGUAGGAUAUAUAUCCUUAUGACAGAUUUAAAAGAAGUUUGUAUUUGAAAGAAAAGGUAAGAGACUGCAAGUAAAUCUAUUACAGAGAAAUGUCUAUUCAAAUAACUUUGGAACAGUUACAAAAAAUAAUUAUACAAGCACUUCCACAAAACCAUACUAAUUUCCAAAUUCAAAAUGCAAGAACUGUAAAGGUCAUAGUAUUUGAACACAACAUAAUAAAGGUGAAAAAAUAAACACCCCUGCCACAUGCAUAUUUUAAAAUGUGAAAAUUAAUUAAAGGAAACUUUUUUUUUUUUUUUUUAAAGGAAAUCUCAUUUAGAAUGGAGUCAGGCCAGCAGGGCAAGCUCUCACAACUUCUCACUUCUCAAUUCCAGACCUAAGGGGAAGAGAGGGACUUUGCACAAGGAUACUAUUUUGCUAUCCCAACAGGAGGAAGAAAGGCUUUCCUCCUCCCCCAAGCAACAAUCCAGCCAAUGAGACACUGACACCUCAGCCAGUGAAAACCCACUAUACUUCCAGUUCCCAAUUUACUCUAAUGGACUUUUUUGUUUAUAACAGCUUUCUCAACAUCCUGUUUUCCUCUUUAUUAAAGGGCAUUCCUCUCCUUCCUUCUGAAUUCUUGCCUAUGGUUUUGCCCUAUCUUGUUUGUCCUGGACUGCAAUUCUCUAGUAUUACUGAAUAAACCUUUUUUUUUUUUUUUUUUUUGCUGGUAAAAUAACUGGCAAUCUUAUUUAUUUUUAAAAGUUUAUUUUGAGAGAGUGAGUAUGGGGGAGGGGUAGAGAGAACAGGAA